GUAUCUCGUAGUCAACCUGCCCUGGAGACAUGGACAACCCCGGGAAACUGGGAUUAAUCCGUGAUAGGUCAUCUCAUCUGGAAGGAGAGAUGGCUUAAAGGGAUGCGCGGGCUUCUUCUGCGUAUUUGCUCCAGGAUGGGACUGCGUCCGAUCAGGCUGUUGGCGGGGUAAUGGCCCACCAAGCCAGUAACCGGUACGGGCCUUGAGAGAGGUGGCCCGGAGAUGGACACUGAGAGAAGGGUCCAGGUCCUACGGGGCGCAGCAGGCGCGAAACCUUCGCAAUGCGCGCAAGCGUGACGAGGUUAAUCCGAGUGAUUUCCGCUGAGGAGACCUUUUGUCUGCUGUAAAUAGGCAGGCGAAUAAGGGGAGGGCAAGCCUGGUGUCAGCCGCCGCGGUAAUACCAGCUCCUCGAGUGGUCGGGGCGAUUAUUGGGCCUAAAGCAUCCGUAGCCGGUUCCGUAGGUCCUCUGUUAAAUCCAACCGCCCAACGGUUGACCUGCAGAGGAUACCGCGAGACU
RNAcentral lists this ribosomal RNA (517 nucleotides) under uncultured archaeon. RNAcentral's name for it is "bacterial SSU rRNA". It matches the Rfam family "Archaeal small subunit ribosomal RNA", at positions 93 to 593 of the family's 1478-position model. The record is from RNAcentral.